RNAcentral lists this ribosomal RNA (459 nucleotides) under uncultured bacterium. RNAcentral describes it as "bacterial SSU rRNA". It matches the Rfam family "Bacterial small subunit ribosomal RNA", at positions 28 to 518 of the family's 1533-position model. The record is from RNAcentral.
GACGAACGCUGGCGGCGUGCCUAAAACAUGCAAGUCGAACGAGGCCUUCGGGUCUAGUGGCGAACGGCGGAGUAAUACAUGAACAACGUGCCCCUAAGUCUGGGACAAACGCAGAAAUGUUAUAAAUACCAGAUGUGGCCGGAGAAGGACAUCCUUUUCCGAUUAAAGGUUUUUCGCUUAGGGAGCGGUUCAUGGCCUAUCAGCUAGUUGGUGGGGUAACGGCCUACCAAGGCGACGACGGGUAGGGGUCUAAGAGGAUGAUCCCCCCGAGUGGGACUGAGACACGGCCCACACACCUACGGGUGGCAGCAGUUGGGAAUCUUGCACAAUGGGGGAAACCCUGAUGCAGCGACGCCGCGUGGAGGAUGACGGAUCUAGGUCUGUAAACUCCUUUUUCAGGGAAAGACUUAGGACGGUACCCUGAGAAUAAGGACCGGCUAACUACGUGCCAGCAGCCGC